GAUGAACGCUGGCGGCGUGCCUAAUACAUGCAAGUCGAGCGAACAGAUAAGGAGCUUGCUCCUUUGACGUUAGCGGCGGACGGGUGAGUAACGCGUGGGUAACCUAUCUAUAAGACUGGAAUAACUCCGGGAAACCGGGGCUAAUGCCGGAUAACAUGUUGAACCGCAUGGUUCUACAGUGAAAGGCGGCUUUGCUGUCACUUAUAGAUGGACCCGCGCCGUAUUAGCUAGUUGGUGAGGUAACGGCUCACCAAGGCAACGAUACGUAGCCGACCUGAGAGGGUGAUCGGCCACACGGGAACGGAGACACGGUCCAGACUCCUACGGGAGGCAGCAGUAGGGAAUGUUACGCAAUGGGCGAAAGCCUGACGGAGCAACGCCGCGUGAGUGAUGAAGGUCUUCGGAGCGUAAAACCCUGUUAUUAGGGAAGAACAAAUGCGUAAGUAACUGUGCGCGUCGUGACGGUACCUAAUCAGAAAGCAACGGCUAACUACGUG
RNAcentral lists this ribosomal RNA (497 nucleotides) under uncultured bacterium. RNAcentral's name for it is "partial 16S ribosomal RNA". It matches the Rfam family "Bacterial small subunit ribosomal RNA", at positions 28 to 507 of the family's 1533-position model. The record is from RNAcentral.